CCCUACGGGGUGCAGCAGCUACGAAACCUUUACAAUGCACGAAAGUGUGAUAAGGGAAUCCUGAGUGCUCAUGUUAUGCAUGGGCUUUUGCCAAGAGUAAAUAUCUUGGCGAAUAAGUGGUGGGCAAGACUGGUGCCAGCCGCCGCGGUAACACCAGCGCCACAAGUGGGAAUCGUUUUUAUUGGGUCUAAAGCGUCCGUAGCCGGAUUAGCAAAUUUUCUGUGAAAUCGGCCACCUUAAUUGGUCGGCGUGCAGAAAACACUACUAAUCUUGAGACUGGGAGAGGUAAGAAGUAUGCCGGGGGUAGCGGUAAAAUGUUAUAAUCCCCGGUGGACUACCAAUGGCGAAGGCAUCUUGCCAGAACAGAUCUGACGGUGAGGGACUAAAGCUGGGGGAGCGAUCCGGACUAGAUACCCGAGUAGUCCCAGCCCUAAACGCUGCCAGCCAGGUGUUGCAUAAUCUUCAUGGUUAUGCAGUGUCGUAAUGAAGAUGUUAAGCUGGCCACCUGGGAAGUACGGUCGCAAGGCUGAAACUUAAAGGAAUUGGCGGGGGAGCAC
RNAcentral lists this ribosomal RNA (557 nucleotides) under uncultured archaeon. RNAcentral's name for it is "bacterial SSU rRNA". It matches the Rfam family "Archaeal small subunit ribosomal RNA", at positions 321 to 879 of the family's 1478-position model. The record is from RNAcentral.